RNAcentral lists this ribosomal RNA (918 nucleotides) under Exechia seriata. Its description in RNAcentral is "partial 28S ribosomal RNA". It matches the Rfam family "Eukaryotic large subunit ribosomal RNA", at positions 1073 to 1897 of the family's 3401-position model. The record is from RNAcentral. Lineage: Eukaryota; Metazoa; Arthropoda; Insecta; Diptera; Mycetophilidae.
GUAAGAACCUCAUCUUUCUUGAUCUGAAGAUAUCGAGGUUUAGAUAUAUUGUGCCCAGUGGGCCACUUUUGGUAAGCAGAACUGGCGCUGUGGGAUGAACCAAACGCGAUGUUACGGCGCCUAAAUUAAUGACUCAUAUUGAUACCAUGAAAGGCGUUGGUUGCUUAAAACAGCAGGACGGUGGACAUGGAAGUCGUAAUCCGCUAAGGAGUGUGUAACAACUCACCUGCCGAAGCAACUAGCCCUUAAAAUGGAUGGCGCUCAAGUCAUAUGCCUAUACAUCGCCGCUAGGACAAUGAGAUUUCAUCCUUGUGGUGCAAAUCUGUCAAGUCCUAGUGAGUAGGAGGGUACAAUGGUGUGCGCAGAAGUGUUUGGCGUGAGCCUGCAUGGAGCCGCCAUUGGCACAGAUCUUGGUGGUAGUAGCAAAUAAUCGAAUGAGAUCUUGGAGGACUGAAGUGGAGAAGGGUUUCGUGUGAACAGUGGUUGAUCACGAGUUAGUCGGUCCUAAGCUCUAUGCGAAAGCUGUUUAAUUUAUGUUACAAAAUUUCUGACCAAAUUGUCGUACAUAAUUUAAUAAGAGCGAAAGGGAAUACGGUUCCAAUUCCGUAACCUGUUGAGUAUACGUUUGUUUAUUAAAAAUGGGUCUUAUUACACUCAUCCUGGCAACAGGAACAACCAUAGAGAAGCCUUCGAGAGAUACUGGAAGAGUUUUCUUUUCUGUUGAACAAUCGUAAAACCAUGGAAGUCUUUCACAGAGAGAUAUGGUUUAUGGAUUGGAAGAGCAUGACAUUUACUGUUGUGUCAGUAUUUUCUCCUUGGACCUUGAAAAUCUAUGGUGGGGCCACGCAAACUUCUCAACAGACCGUACCGAUAUCCGCAGCCGGUCUCCAAGGUGAAGAGUCUCUAGUCGAUAGAAUA